CCCAAACGCGGACCCCAUGUUGAGGAUUAUGUUUUAUUGAGGCAUCAUUUACUUGCAGUAAAAUGCACAGGUCUUAAGUGGAACAUGGGAGGAGUUUGGACAACUGUGUAUAAUCACCACCCAGAUCAAGGUCUAGAACGCCCCAUCAUCACCCCAGAAAGUUCCCUUGUACUCUUCCCUGCUCACCCCCCAUCCUGAGCCCUACGCAGCCACUGCUCUUCUUCCUCUCACUGGAGCAUGUGGACUUCUGUGGAGGGCGUGGACUUGUCUGCCUGUUUUGCUCAGCUUUCUCUGCGUGGCUGAGCUGGGAGCAGCUCCCUGUCCUGCUCUGCUGCGCCGUCCCCCAUGGCAAGGGUCUGCCGCCAUGGUAAACACCUGUGAGUGCAAGGGCUGGGUCCCAAGGCAGACAUAGGCUUUACCGUUUUAAGGAACUGCCAGACAGAUUUCCAAGUGACUGUGCCUCUGCAUUCCUGCCAGCAGCGGAUGAGAGUUCUGGCGCUCUGUCCUCAUCCUUGCCAGCGGUGUUUAUGACACCUGUUCAGACUUCUAAAGUCCAAGAAGGGACCUCAGCAACACAGGCACGUCUCCUGGGCAGAGGCGUGCGUCAUGGAAAACUUGGAGGCUGGUGAUUGGGCCGUCUCUGCUGCAAAGUCAAGUCCCCGAACGCUUGAAAAACAACAUAAUGUAUUCCUGUCUGCAGCUCUGAGCGAAAGCUCAUUUUGUGUCCUGUGUUUCCAUUUCCUGAGGAUUAAUAAGUGUGGAGGGGAACUCGGGCUUCGUGCCGAAUAUUUAUUUAGUCAAUAUACGCAUCAAUUUAGCAAAUUAGAGAUCGCAAGCCAUUUCUAAGCAAUGCUGUAAAAAUAAUAGCUGUACUUUAAACUUGUAAUGGAUUUUGGUUUGGUGGGAGGUGGUGGCUACUACGUGCCUGGUACUUGAUAAACAAAGAAGUUUAGUUCUCCUUAAACUUCAGUGGAUGUCUGAGUCAUUGGAGAUGUU
Molecule: long non-coding RNA, 996 nt
Filed under: Homo sapiens (human)
Lineage: Eukaryota; Metazoa; Chordata; Mammalia; Primates; Hominidae
Description: HSALNT0402029
Source: RNAcentral